UUACCCUACUACUAAUACUACCCUACAUUCCUGCGUAGUACGAGAGGAACCGCAGGUACGGACCAAUGGCACAAUACUUGUUCGAGCGAACAGUGGUAUGACGCUACGUCCGUUGGAUUAUGCUUGAACGCCUCUAAGGUCGUAUCCGUACUGGACUGCAAUGAUAAAUAAGGGACAAUUUGCAUUGUAUGGCUUCUAAACCAUUUAAAGUUUAUUAUUUAUAUUUUAAGCGACAAUGGAUGUGAUGCCAAUGUAAUUUGUAACUUAGUAAAUUGGGAGGAUCUUUGAUCACCUAAUGCCAUGCUAGUUACAUAUGAAAACAUUAUUUAAUAUAAUGACAAAGCCGAGAAUCAAUUGUAAGCGACUUUUUUAAAUGGCAAGGUGUUGUAAGUGGUUGAGCAGCUGCCAUACUGCGAUCCACUGAAGCUUAUCCUUUGCUUGAUGAUCGAA
RNAcentral lists this non-coding RNA (450 nucleotides) under Drosophila ananassae. RNAcentral describes it as "Eukaryotic large subunit ribosomal RNA". It matches the Rfam family "Eukaryotic large subunit ribosomal RNA", at positions 2989 to 3401 of the family's 3401-position model. Lineage: Eukaryota; Metazoa; Arthropoda; Insecta; Diptera; Drosophilidae. The record is from Rfam by way of RNAcentral.